This is a long non-coding RNA of Monopterus albus (swamp eel), 729 nucleotides long. RefSeq lists it as uncharacterized. The transcript has 4 exons. The record is from RefSeq and is a predicted model, not a curated record. Lineage: Eukaryota; Metazoa; Chordata; Actinopteri; Synbranchiformes; Synbranchidae.
UGUGCUUAUUGUCAUUUUAAAGGCGUGUACAUUCAAUAAAUGACCACUACAUGUGACUGUAAAAAUUAAAUGUGGAUCUUUCAUUGUAGGUCCAUUUCAUUAACCUGCUCUCCUAUCCCCUGUACCUUUCUUCAGUGUCUUUCUGUCCAAUGAGCUCCCCUCAGUGUUGGACCACUGGGACCUGCUUGUUUGUUUCCCUUUAACGCCAUCAUCAUUCUCUACCUCCUUUGAACCAGCUCAGAUAACAUCUACUUCCUACACCACUACAGGCCCUGGAGCCCAGUGGCACCAAACUCACUGCAUUAGUGGUGAUGCAUGGCAUCCCUCUUGGUGUGGGUCAGCUCUUUGCCUGUGAAGUCCUGGGGCUCUCCUUCCUUAUUCUGGGAACUGUGCUGCUCUAGUCUCCUCUGCUUGCCACUCAUGCUGUACUGGGAUCAGCGGUCAGAGCACUUGCUGGCUUCCUCUCUGCAUAUGUCAACAUUGCUCUGAGCAGUCUGCUGGGAACUGUGAGCGCAAUUUACACUAAGUAUGUAUGGAGCUGCAACACUGAGAUGGUCUUGAUGUGGGUCUCCCAGCAUGCAGUUGGGCAUCUAUUUUAACAACCACACUGAUGCUGCUGCUGACUGGCAGGUUAUGGCCCCUGAACACAACUUGUGAUCUUGCAGCCAGUAGAAAGCUAGGAACACCCCAGGUAAGGGGAGCACCAUUGUCUAGCAUGGGGUAGCACGC